CCCUUAGAUGUCCUGGGCCGCACGCGCGCUACACUGAUGCAUGCAACGAGUUUAUAACCUUGGCCUGAAAGGUCUGGGUAAUCUUUUGAACGUGCAUCGUGAUAGGGAUAGAUUAUUGAAAUUAUUAAUCUUGAACGAGGAAUUCCUAGUAAACGCAGAUCAUCAAUCUGCAUUGAUUACGUCCCUGCCCUUUGUACACACCGCCCGUCGCACCUACCGAUUGGAUGGUCCGGUGAAGCCUCGGGAUUGUGGUUCUUGCCGCUUUAUUGUGGCGUGACCGCGAGAACUUGUCUAAACCUUAUCAUCUAGAGGAAGGUGAAGUCGUAACA
This 329-nucleotide ribosomal RNA is filed under the name uncultured eukaryote. Its description in RNAcentral is "partial 18S ribosomal RNA". It matches the Rfam family "Eukaryotic small subunit ribosomal RNA", at positions 1470 to 1796 of the family's 1831-position model. The record is from RNAcentral.